Molecule: small RNA, 163 nt
Filed under: Chrysemys picta bellii (western painted turtle)
Lineage: Eukaryota; Metazoa; Chordata; Testudines; Emydidae
Description: TUC338 (ENSCPBG00000010324.1)
Source: RNAcentral
UUAAAGGAAUUAGAUUGUUAGCUCCAGGGCCAGAACAGGCUCAGCUGCAAUUGAAGUUUCCCCCUACACUGCCCCACCAACGUGCCUCAUCCCUGACCUGGAGAGACCACCUCUAAGGUGAGAGAGCAGUUCAGUGUCCAAGCCCAUUUAAUUCUUUGUCACG